CAAAAUAUAUGUUAAGUGGAAAAGGAUGUGGCGUUGCCCAGACAACUAGGAUGUUGGCUUAGAAGCAGCCAUCAUUUAAAGAGUGCGUAAUAGCUCACUAGUCGAGUGACACUGCGCCGAAAAUGUACCGGGGCUAAACAUAUUACCGAAGCUGUGGAUUGUCCUUUGGACAAUGGUAGGAGAGCGUUCUAAGGGCGUUGAAGCAUGAUCGUAAGGACAUGUGGAGCGCUUAGAAGUGAGAAUGCCGGUGUGAGUAGCGAAAGACGGGUGAGAAUCCCGUCCACCGAUUGACUAAGGUUUCCAGAGGAAGGCUCGUCCGCUCUGGGUUAGUCGGGUCCUAAGCUGAGGCCGACAGGCGUAGGCGAUGGAUAACAGGUUGAUAUUCCUGUACCACCUAUAAUCGUUUUAAUCGAUGGGGGGACGCAGUAGGAUAGGCGAAGCGUGCGAUUGGAUUGCACGUCUAAGCAGUAAGGCUGAGUAUUAGGCAAAUCCGGUACUCAUUAAGGCUGAGCUGUGAUGGGGAGAAGACAUUGUGUCUUCGAGUCGUUGAUUUCACACUGCCGAGAAAAGCCUCUAGAUAGAAAAUAGGUGCCCGUACCGCAAACCGACACAGGUAGUCAAGAUGAGAAUUCUAAGGUGAGCGAGCGAACUCUCGUUAAGGAACUCGGCAAAAUGACCCCGUAACUUCGGGAGAAGGGGUGCUCUUUAGGGUUAACGCCCAGAAGAGCCGCAGUGAAUAGGCCCAAGCGACUGUUUAUCAAAAACACAGGUCUCUGCUAAACCGUAAGGUGAUGUAUAGGGGCUGACGCCUGCCCGGUGCUGGAAGGUUAAGAGGAGUGGUUAGCUUCUGCGAAGCUACGAAUCGAAGCCCCAGUAAACGGCGGCCGUAACUAUAACGGUCCUAAGGUAGCGAAAUUCCUUGUCGGGUAAGUUCCGACCCGCACGAAAGGCGUAACGAUUUGGGCACUGUCUCAACGAGAGACUCGGUGAAAUCAUAGUACCUGUGAAGAUGCAGGUUACCCGCGACAGGACGGAAAGACCCCGUGGAGCUUUACUGUAGCCUGAUAUUGAAAUUCGGCACAGCUUGUACAGGAUAGGUAGGAGCCUUUGAAACGUGAGCGCUAGCUUACGUGGAGGCGCUGGUGGGAUACUACCCUAGCUGUGUUGGCUUUCUAACCCGCACCACUUAUCGUGGUGGGAGACAGUGUCAGGCGGGCAGUUUGACUGGGGCGGUCGCCUCCUAAAAGGUAACGGAGGCGCUCAAAGGUUCCCUCAGAAUGGUUGGAAAUCAUUCAUAGAGUGUAAAGGCAUAAGGGAGCUUGACUGCGAGACCUACAAGUCGAGCAGGGUCGAAAGACGGACUUAGUGAUCCGGUGGUUCCGCAUGGAAGGGCCAUCGCUCAACGGAUAAAAGCUACCCCGGGGAUAACAGGCUUAUCUCCCCCAAGAGUUCACAUCGACGGGGAGGUUUGGCACCUCGAUGUCGGCUCAUCGCAUCCUGGGGCUGUAGUCGGUCCCAAGGGUUGGGCUGUUCGCCCAUUAAAGCGGUACGCGAGCUGGGUUCAGAACGUCGUGAGACAGUUCGGUCCCUAUCCGUCGUGGGCGUAGGAAAUUUGAGAGGAGCUGUCCUUAGUACGAGAGGACCGGGAUGGACAUACCUCUGGUGUACCAGUUGUCGUGCCAACGGCAUAGCUGGGUAGCUAUGUGUGGACGGGAUAAGUGCUGAAAGCAUCUAAGCAUGAAGCCCCCCUCAAGAUGAGAUUUCCCAACUUCGGUUAUAAGAUCCCUCAAAGAUGAUGAGGUUAAUAGGUUCGAGGUGGAAGCAUGGUGACAUGUGGAGCUGACGAAUACUAA
Molecule: ribosomal RNA, 1853 nt
Filed under: Staphylococcus aureus
Lineage: Bacteria; Bacillati; Bacillota; Bacilli; Caryophanales; Staphylococcaceae
Description: partial 23S ribosomal RNA
Rfam family: Bacterial large subunit ribosomal RNA
Source: RNAcentral